GGGGCUUGUGGCUUCAUGGACCAUCCUGGUAAGCUGUGGCUCCUUUUUAGGCUCAUACCACAUGAAUGGCAAAGAGACUCCUUCAACAUGGUGGUGGUGGAGUAACCCUGUCUCUAACCUCAGAAGGAAGUGAACCAGGAAUGGCAGAUGAGGCCAACAAGGUUCCCAAGUGCAUGCCCAGUCGCAUCGAAAUGAUGGGACACAGCAGGGGCCAGUCUCUUCUUCUUCCAGCUGGAAUUGCAACACAAGCAAUACAGUCAUGAUGACCUUCGGAGUCACUCAGAUCUUCCUGCUCCAGGUGUACAGCCAUGUAGAAGCCUUGUGGCCAGAACAAAUUCUCAUCUGACUUAAUAAUGAAGGGAGGACACUGUUCAUACUAUUCCUCAUGGCUGGCAGAAAGUUUUUCCAUACAGUAUGGAGCCAGAAAAUUAACCUCCAGAGGGAGCCUCAUCUUCGCCAACGAUUUUGUAACAAGCAAGUGUUUAAAGCAACAAGACCCCAAAGGGAAAAUGCUCCAGCAACAGGGAGACCAUGUGUUCAGUGCUCUCCUCAACUACGCAGCCAGCUUCUGCUUUCCAUCACUUUGCACGUCAGUCAUGACCAGUUUAAAGCAAAUUUAUUAAUCCUGCUGUAUAAUUAAAACCCCAAUGUUGCAGUUGCGUAUUUACCCACAUCACAACUUGCAGUAAUCACAGUGCAUGGCAGAAUUUCUGGUGAUUGCUUUUUCCAAUCACAACCUUGAUUAGCAAUAUGCAGAUUUUACAGGUAUCAUUGAGACUAUGGGACAUGGAGGGACUGAAUAAGAUGUAGCACAGGACCAGCCUCCGAUGAGUUUUAGCACAAGGCAACAACUAAUUGACCCUGGGCAAGUCAGCCUCAUUCCAGGCAUCUAUAUACAAAGUGUUAUGUACCACAAGGCAGAGUAGAAAGCAGUCAGUUCUGUGUUACACACCGUUCUGACCAUUGCCAAAUGAAAAAUCCUAGGUAGUGUUAUUUCAGAUUCUAAUAAAUAUUUAUGUCAGCCAGCA
This 1028-nucleotide long non-coding RNA is filed under the name Anser brachyrhynchus (Pink-footed goose). RNAcentral's name for it is "lncRNA (ENSABRG00000006295.1)". The record is from RNAcentral. Lineage: Eukaryota; Metazoa; Chordata; Aves; Anseriformes; Anatidae.